GGAUAACCGUGGUAAUUCUAGAGCUAAUACAUGCUAAAAAUCCCGACCCCUGGAAGGGAUGUAUUUAUUAGAUAAAAAACCAAUGCCUUCGGGCUUCUUGGUGAUUCAUGAUAACUAUACGAAUCGCAUGGCCUUGCGCUGGCGAUGGUUCAUUCAAAUUUCUGCCCUAUCAACUUUCGAUGGUAGGAUAGUGGCCUACCAUGGUUUCAACGGGUAACGGGGAAUUAGGGUUCGAUUCCGGAGAGGGAGCCUGAGAAACGGCUACCACAUCCAAGGAAGGCAGCAGGCGCGCAAAUUACCCAAUCCCGACACGGGGAGGUAGUGACAAUAAAUACUGAUACAGGGCCCUUUCGGAUCUUGUAAUUGGAAUGAGUACAAUUUAAAUCCUUUAACGAGGAACAAUUGGAGGGCAAGUCUGGUGCCAGCAGCCGCGGUAAUUCCAGCUCCAAUAGCGUAUAUUAAAGUUGUUGCAGUUAAAAAGCUCGUAGUUGAACUUUGGGUCUGGGUGACCGGUCUGCGUUCUGCGUGUGUUACUGGAAACCUGGAUCUUUCCUUCUGGAACACCACAUGCCCUUUACUGGGUGUGUUUUGGAGAGCCAGGACUUUUACUUUGAAAAAAUUAGAGUGUUCAAAGCAGGCAUUUGCUCGAAUACAUUAGCAUGGAAUAAUAAAAUAGGACGUGCGGUUCUAUUUUGUUGGUUUCUAGGACCGCCGUAAUGAUUAAUAGGGAUAGUCGGGGGCAUCCGUAUUCGAUUGUCAGAAGUGAAAUUCUUGGAUUUUUCGAAGACGAACUACUGCGAAAGCAUUUGCCAAGGAUGUUUUCAUUAAUCAGGAACGAAAGUUGAGGGAUCGAAGACGAUCAGAUACCGUCGUAGUCUCAACCAUAAACUAUGCCGACUAGGGAUCGGGCGAUGUUUUCUUUUUGACUCGCUCGGCACCUUACGAGAAAUCAAAGUGUUUGGGUUCUGGGGGGAGUAUGGUCGCAAGGCUGAAACUUAAAGGAAUUGACGGAAGGGCACCACCAGGAGUGGAGCCUGCGGCUUAAUUUGACUCAACACGGGGAAACUCACCAGGUCCAGACACAUUAAGGAUUGACAGAUUGAGAGCUCUUUCUUGAUCAUGUGGGUGGUGGUGCAUGGCCGUUCUUAGUUGGUGGAGUGAUUUGUCUGCUUAAUUGCGAUAACGAACGAGACCUUAACCUGCUAAAUAGCCAGGCUCGCUUUUGCG
RNAcentral lists this ribosomal RNA (1227 nucleotides) under Octosporella microtricha. Its description in RNAcentral is "SSU rRNA". It matches the Rfam family "Eukaryotic small subunit ribosomal RNA", at positions 141 to 1375 of the family's 1831-position model. The record is from RNAcentral. Lineage: Eukaryota; Fungi; Ascomycota; Pezizomycetes; Pezizales; Pyronemataceae.